CGCGUAGGUGGGUUUGUAAGUCAGACGUGAAAUCCCGGAGCUCAACUCCGGAACUGCAUUUGAAACUACAAACCUCGAGGAUAGGCGGAGAAAACAGAAUUCCACAUGUAGCGGUGAAAUGCGUAGAUAUGUGGAGGAAUACCCGUGGCGAAGGCGGUUUUCUAGCUUACUCCUGACACUGAGGCGCGAAAGCAAGGGGAGCGAACAGGAUUAGAUACCCUGGUAGUCC
RNAcentral lists this ribosomal RNA (229 nucleotides) under uncultured bacterium. RNAcentral's name for it is "partial 16S ribosomal RNA". It matches the Rfam family "Bacterial small subunit ribosomal RNA", at positions 568 to 796 of the family's 1533-position model. The record is from RNAcentral.